GGGGAUUCACUGUUAUACUUGGAGGCCAUGUCACCUGAGAGUCAAUGGGCAACGAUCAAAUUUCACCUUGAGCAGAUUCUUUUGUUUGCUUUUUAGUCACAAAUAGCUUGGCCCUAAGUGGUGGCUCCCAUUCUUGUAAGAUGCGUUUAUUCAUCGUGUAAUCACCAGUUCCCUGUAGUGGGGGCGUGGAUGGAGUGUCAGAGGCUCCUGCUGGUCUUUAGGGUGUCUGGCCUCCAGGAAUCCUAGAGGUAGUAUUUGGAGAGAUUUUUAAAAGCUUUGUUUCUGUGACCAGCAAAACCUGGAUUUGACACUGAGGUCAGCCCGUUUCAGCCAGUGACGUAACCUGUCUUUUUGCCCCAGUAAAUUGGGAACUACAGCACUCGAUGUUAGAGUUGUCGUGAAGAUUAAAGAAGGUGACGACUGGACAACUCCCAGCCCAAUACCUGAAACUGUACCAGCACCCAGUGAGCACUGCUAUUCCUGUGACUGCUGCACAUUUGCCUUAUCUCAGCAGUAUGCCUGUGUCACUUUUUUGGCACUCUUUUCUCAUGGGUACAUUCAGAGAAGAGGAAUGUUUGUUCACUGGUGAAGAGAACAUCCCGUGUACUAUCGUGUAGAAGUUGUAGUAGACGCUGUGGUCUUUCCAACAACAAACAAAUGGGCAAGUCUAUGCAAACCUGUCCCCAAAGUCCAAGGAGGCUGAGAGGCCAAAGAAAGAGGCUGGCAAAUCCAGUCUCUUAAAAAGAAACAUUUAACAGUGUCUUACAAACAGAAGCCACGUCUGUGUCUUAGGGGACUAGACAAGAGAAUGGAUCCCCGCCAUUAGCCCCAGACCUGGAGCUCAUGUACCAGGGAAAGGGUGGUUCAGAAGAGACAUGCAGGACAACUGAAGUAUGACAACAUCACAGUUGUUUGACCUACAGGCAGGAUUUAUGCUAAGUGCCUGCUCUAACACAAGGAACAAUCGAUAAACUGAAAAUCUUGGAGGCCUUCCUGGAACUGGGGUUCAUCAAAGCCAACAUGGGAGAUUAGCUUCCAAGACAGAGUCUCUUGGCCUUAGUGGUGCUGCCUGCAGCAUUCUAGCACCCACCUCCACAUAAAAGCGAGAGGUGGUUCCCAUUUAUAUCGGAGUCUUGGAAGGAUCCAUACAUUUCAUGCAGGGAUGUCAGUCACGGCCAGCUGAUACACUUAUACAACAUUACUGAGACCAUAACUUUACAGUUUUUGUUCUUUCAAUGUAUCUCAAGGCCUGAUUCUGAGAAAUAAUACUGCUGGGGAAUUGUACAAAUGAUAUGCAUUUCAUUCUUCUGUUCUUCACUGCAUAAAAGAAACAAACUGUGAACUCGGACUUUAUCUGCCUGACCCCAGAUGGAGGAGCUUGUACUGCCUUGUCAUUAGUGUUGGGCUCUUGACUUACAUGGAGGGGUGCAUUUCGACAUGCCGCAGAAAGGUUUCCCAGGACGGGCAAUCAGAGGAGGUUUGUCAUCUGCUCAUCACCCAGUAUCUUCCUUAUUAAUAAUACUCAAGAGGGAAUUUUGUCUGAAUACUUCAGAGCUGGUCGUGGGGAUUGGGGGAGGUAAAAACAACAGAAAAUAAAGUUUCAUUCAAAAAUUUAA
Long non-coding RNA from Homo sapiens (human), 1616 nucleotides. Ensembl annotates it as long intergenic non-protein coding RNA 2669. Lineage: Eukaryota; Metazoa; Chordata; Mammalia; Primates; Hominidae. The record is from Ensembl.